CCUACGGGUGGCAGCAGUGGGGAAUAUUGGACAAUGGGCGAAAGCCUGAUCCAGCCAUGCCGCGUGUGUGAAGAAGGCCUUCGGGUUGUAAAGCACUUUCAGUGGGGAAGAAAGCCUUGGGGCUAAUACCCUCGAGGAAGGACAUCACCCACAGAAGAAGCACCGGCUAACUCCGUGCCAGUAGCCGCGGUAAUACGGAGGGUGCGAGCGUUAAUCGGAAUUACUGGGCGUAAAGCGCGCGUAGGCGGUCUGAUAAGCCGGUUGUGAAAGCCCCGGGCUCAACCUGGGAACGGCAUCCGGAACUGUCAGGCUAGAGUGCAGGAGAGGAAGGUAGAAUUCCCGGUGUAGCGGUGAAAUGCGUAGAGAUCGGGAGGAAUACCAGUGGCGAAGGCGGCCUUCUGGACUGACACUGACGCUGAGGUGCGAAAGCGUGGGUAGCAAACAGGAUUAGAUACCCUAGUAGUC
RNAcentral lists this ribosomal RNA (465 nucleotides) under Vreelandella stevensii. RNAcentral's name for it is "partial 16S ribosomal RNA". It matches the Rfam family "Bacterial small subunit ribosomal RNA", at positions 338 to 795 of the family's 1533-position model. The record is from RNAcentral. Lineage: Bacteria; Pseudomonadati; Pseudomonadota; Gammaproteobacteria; Oceanospirillales; Halomonadaceae.